RNAcentral lists this ribosomal RNA (486 nucleotides) under uncultured bacterium. RNAcentral's name for it is "partial 16S ribosomal RNA". It matches the Rfam family "Bacterial small subunit ribosomal RNA", at positions 38 to 507 of the family's 1533-position model. The record is from RNAcentral.
GGGGGGGGGGGGGGGGGGGGCUGGCACGUGGGAGGCGAGCGGCCGCGCGGGUGCGGGCGCCUGGUGGCGGGGGGCGGACGGGUGAGUGGUACAUCGGGACAUGUCCUGUAGUGGGGGAUGGCCCGGCGAAAGCCGGAUUAAUACCGCAUACGAACCACGGAUGAAAGCGGGGGACCUUCUGGCCUCGCGCUAUAGGGUUGGCCGAUGGCUGAUUAGCUAGUUGGUGGGGUAAAGGCCUACCAAGGCGACGAUCAGUAGCUGGUCUGAGAGCACGACCAGCCACACUGGGACUGAGACACGGCCCAGACUCCUACGGGAGGCAGCAGUGGGGAAUUUUGGACAAUGGGCGAAAGCCUGAUCCAGCAAUGCCGCGUGUGUGAAGAAGGCCUUCGGGUUGUAAAGCACUUUUGUCCGGAAAGAAAUCCUUGACUCUAAUACAGUCGGGGGAUGACGGUACCGGAAGAAUAAGCACCGGCUAACUACGUG